AGAGUUUGAUCAUGGCUCAGAACGAACGCUGGCGGCAGGCCUAACACAUGCAAGUCGAACGCGACCUUCGGGUCGAGUGGCGCACGGGUGAGUAACGCGUGGGAAUCUGCCCUGUGGUACGGAAUAACAUCGGGAAACUGGUGCUAAUACCGUAUAUCCCCUGAGGGGGAAAGAUUUAUCGCCAUGGGAGGAGCCCGCGUAGGAUUAGCUAGUUGGUGGGGUAACGGCCUACCAAGGCGACGAUCCUUAGCUGGUCUGAGAGGAUGAUCAGCCACACUGGGACUGAGACACGGCCCAGACUCCUACGGGAGGCAGCAGUGGGGAAUAUUGGACAAUGGGGGAAACCCUGAUCCAGCCAUGCCGCGUGUGUGAUGAAGGCCUUCGGGUUGUAAAGCACUUUCGCACGUGACGAUGAUGACGGUAACGUGAGAAGAAGCCCCGGCUAACUUCGUGCCAGCAGCCGCGGUAAUACGAAGGGGGCAAGCGUUGUUCGGAAUUACUGGGCGUAAAGGGCGCGUAGGCGGUGCUCUAAGUCAGGCGUGAAAGCCCUGGGCUCAACCCGGGAAUUGCGCUUGAUACUGGAGCGCUUGAAUCCAGGAGAGGUUGGUGGAAUUCCCAGUGUAGAGGUGAAAUUCGUAGAGAUUGGGAAGAACACCGGUGGCGAAGGCGGCCAACUGGACUGGUAUUGACGCUGAGGCGCGAAAGCGUGGGGAGCAAACAGGAUUAGAUACCCCCGUAGUCC
Molecule: ribosomal RNA, 742 nt
Filed under: uncultured bacterium
Lineage: Bacteria
Description: bacterial SSU rRNA
Rfam family: Bacterial small subunit ribosomal RNA
Source: RNAcentral